Long non-coding RNA from Mauremys reevesii (Reeves's turtle), 991 nucleotides. RefSeq lists it as uncharacterized. The record is from RefSeq and is a predicted model, not a curated record. Lineage: Eukaryota; Metazoa; Chordata; Testudines; Geoemydidae. The transcript is spliced from 3 exons.
UUACCUUUAGGAGGUCAGGUGACUGACACUUCAGAAGAAAAAGUCAGUAUUGCUUCAUGGAUUGACUAACAGAAGUAGCUGCAUACAUGACAGCUGAAGAUGCACUUUCCCUGGGGACUAAGCGCAGUAUGUUCAUGACAAGUGCAGCUAUCGCUGGUUGGGGGCUUGAAAGAUGAUCUUGUUUCUGAACCCAAGACUUCGCAUUGGUGUCUCAUCAGUGCAGCCUGGACCCCUGAACAAGCUCAUAAUAGAAUAUUGCUAUGUCCUGUGAAGACCAUUCUGCUUUCUGGGCCAGUGAAGACCAGGCCUCUAGAAGAGGAGAACUGCAAUAGCUGCACAGCUGUAUGAACAUUCCCUGCUAGCUGUCAGUUGCACUUGAGGUCUGCAUGCCACAAUCCAAGCCAAAGAGAAAGUGCUCUAGUUGCAUUUGGCAGAGGGGAACUGAGGAACUAUAGAGAUGAGAGAAUUGACAGCUGCCAAAAUGAUGGAGUGGAGUUAGCUUUUCCUCUAAAACCUGCAGGUGACAGACUCUGUUGGCCAAAGCAAAACAACACUAUGUAUCGAGUCAUAACUGACUGAAAAACUUGAAAACAACUGCAUCUUUCAAACAUGGUAUAAAGAUCAUGUCGUUUUCAGGAGUACCCAGAUGAAGUCAAGGCUCCAUUGUGCUAGGUGCUGUACAUUUACGUAGCAAGAGACAACUGCUGCCUCAAAGAGCUUACCAUCAAACUAGACAAGACAAACAGCUGGAGAAAGCAAGUAUUAACUCAUCUUACAGAUGGGAAAUGGAAGCACAGAGAAGCUAAAAGGGCUGAGAAUGACAUUCUGCCCCCCGCACUCCCCACUCACCAAUGUGCUUAACCAAAAUGCAUCCUCCCCUCUUGUAAACUGGUUGGUUGCUGCAUUUAGCCCAGAGGUAGGUGCUUCCCAGUAAUUCUGUAUGAAUAGAGUUUUUAAGUGCUUUAGAAUUUUAUGGAAUGAAAUAAGCUAU